GCUUAUUGUUCCCUGUAGCCCCAGGUCCUUUCCUGCAGAGCUGCCUGCCCAGCCAGUCAGGCCCCAGCCUGCAUGGCUCGUGGGCCUGUUCUGCCCUCAGAACCGUGAGAGGAACGGGCGCCAGGGGAGCAAAGGGCGAGAACCGGGGCAUGGCGCUGCUCCAAGGAGCUCCCUUCAGCAAAGGGGCUUGAGGCGCAGCCCGGGCGUGCCGGCCAGGAAGCACUAGCUGCGCCUUUAAAAGGCUGUAGCCCAGCCCAGCCACCCCCACCCGGAUCUGGCUGACGUGGGGAGGAGGCGCCUGCCGCGAACAAAAGUGCUGCCUUGUCGCAGCGCAGCAACAAGUGCGCGGGGCGCGGGCGCAGUGGAUUACAGCGGGGGCGGCCCCGCCGGGGCGCUGCUCCUUAAACCCCUCAGCUCGGCCAUGCGUGGGGCAUGACGGCGGCAGGAUGGGAGCGAACAAUGGCAAGCAGUGCGGCAGCGAGGAAAUGGAAACAUUUUCCUCAGAAAAAUGCUGGAAAAUUUUCCACCCCACAUCUCUGCCAGUGAGGAAGGAUUUCUACAGAAAACAGCUUUGA
RNAcentral lists this long non-coding RNA (575 nucleotides) under Crocodylus porosus (Australian saltwater crocodile). RNAcentral's name for it is "lncRNA (ENSCPRG00005016233.1)". The record is from RNAcentral. Lineage: Eukaryota; Metazoa; Chordata; Crocodylia; Crocodylidae.